RNAcentral lists this ribosomal RNA (571 nucleotides) under Zelotes manius. RNAcentral describes it as "partial large subunit ribosomal RNA". The stretch from base 327 to 571 matches the Rfam family "Eukaryotic large subunit ribosomal RNA", at positions 665 to 877 of the family's 3401-position model. The record is from RNAcentral. Lineage: Eukaryota; Metazoa; Arthropoda; Arachnida; Araneae; Gnaphosidae.
CGCAGCCGGUGGGGCAGAGCAAGCGCGACGACCUGAAGGUCGGGAACCGGCAGGUGGCCGUGGCCAGUCUAGGCUGGUCGCCGGUUGUUAGCCAUCCCGUCGGUGGUCCGUCGCCCCACCGAGGUAUCACGAGGCCCUUGACGGGCUUCUUCGCCUCCCUCCACCGAGACGCGGGACUGACGGUCGCAGGGAAGCACUUCCACCGUCCCACUCCUCCGGAGUGGUCGGGAGAACCGUGCGGCGUCGUUGGCGACCGCGGACCCGUCGGAGGCCGGCGGCUGGCGGCGAGUAGGUCGGUCACCCACCCGACCCGUCUUGAAACACGGACCAAGGAGUCUAACAUGUGCGCGAGUCAAUGGGUCUUGAACAGGCCCAGGGGCGCAAUGAAAGCAAAGGUCGUCUUCAGUCGGCCGAGUUGGGAUCCCCCUCCUUAAAAAAGAGGGGGCGCACCAACGACCCGUCCUAUCCUGCUCGCAGGUUGGGCGGAGUGUGAGCGUACACGUUGGGACCCGAAAGAUGGUGAACUAUGCCCGGACAGGACGAGGCCAGAGGAAACUCUGGUGCAGGUCCG